This 462-nucleotide unclassified non-coding RNA is filed under the name Rhus taitensis. RNAcentral's name for it is "partial external transcribed spacer". The record is from RNAcentral. Lineage: Eukaryota; Viridiplantae; Streptophyta; Magnoliopsida; Sapindales; Anacardiaceae.
UGAGUGGUGUUUUCAUGGCGUGGGUUGGCAGGCUCCGUGCUCGUGCAUCGAACUGUCGACUGCCCAUCGUCCUCAGUCUUUCCCCGGGCGCAACUAUUGCCCCGCGGGUGGUGUCGGUAUCCUGUGUUGCUUACCUACAGAAAGGAAUUCAAUCGUACUGUUGCCCCUUUCCGCUCGAUGCCCUUUGUGGGUGUGGGGUGGACGCCAGGCACGCUACGUGUUCCUCGCAUGCCUUGCUUUGUUGCGGGGCUGCUGAGGCCCAUGGAUCUGUUGCCCGUGCUCUCGGAUGCGGAAUGUCAUGCAUGGGUGCGGGGGUCUCGGCCUUUGCUUGCCCAAGCUAUGCAUUUGUCCCUUGACACGAACGACUGCCACAGCCGUCUUGAACCCGUCGCAGCCUACAUGGUGGACAGGGCUCAUACGACUGUCGGCGUCGUCGAGGAAUGCUACCUGGUUGAUCCUGCC